This 253-nucleotide ribosomal RNA is filed under the name uncultured bacterium. RNAcentral's name for it is "partial 16S ribosomal RNA". It matches the Rfam family "Bacterial small subunit ribosomal RNA", at positions 524 to 776 of the family's 1533-position model. The record is from RNAcentral.
UACAGAGGUCUCAAGCGUUGUUCGGAUUCAUUGGGCGUAAAGGGUGCGUAGGUGGCGCCGUAAGUGGGGUGUGAAAUUUCGGAGCUUAACUCCGAAACUGCAUUCCAUACUGCGGUGCUUGAGGACUGGAGAGGAGACUGGAAUUCAUGGUGUAGCAGUGAAAUGCGUAGAGAUCAUGAGGAAGACCAGUGGCGAAGGCGGGUCUCUGGACAGUUCCUGACACUGAUGCACGAAGGCCAGGGGAGCGAACGGG